RNAcentral lists this ribosomal RNA (567 nucleotides) under uncultured bacterium. RNAcentral describes it as "bacterial SSU rRNA". It matches the Rfam family "Bacterial small subunit ribosomal RNA", at positions 338 to 916 of the family's 1533-position model. The record is from RNAcentral.
CCUACGGGAGGCAGCAGUGGGGAAUAUUGCGCAAUGGGCGAAAGCCUGACGCAGCGACGCCGCGUGAGGGAUGAAGGUCUUCGGAUUGUAAACCUCUUUCAGCAGGGACGAAGCGAAAGUGACGGUACCUGAAGAAGAAGCACCGGCUAACUACGUGCCAGCAGCCGCGGUAAUACGUAGGGUGCAAGCGUUGUCCGGAUUUAUUGGGCGUAAAGAGCUCGUAGGCGGUUAGACACGUCGGAUGUGAAAACUGGGGGCUCAACCCCCAGCCUGCAUUCGAUACGGUCUGACUAGAGUGUGGUAGGGGUAACUGGAAUUCCUGGUGUAGCGGUGAAAUGCGCAGAUAUCAGGAGGAACACCGAUGGCGAAGGCAGGUUACUGGGCCACCACUGACGCUGAGGAGCGAAAGCGUGGGGAGCAAACAGGAUUAGAUACCCUGGUAGUCCACGCCGUAAACGGUGGGCGCUAGAUGUGGGGACCAUUCCAUGGUUUCUGCGUCGCAGCUAACGCAUUAAGCGCCCCGCCUGGGGAGUACGGUCGCAAGACAAAACUUAAAGGAAUUGACGG